UACAUGUGGGGCAAGCGUUGUUCGGAAUUACUGGGCGUAAAGGGUGCGUAGGCGGCUUGCUAAGUCAGUGGUGAAAUCGUCCGGCCCAACCGGACACGUGCCAAUGAUACUGGUGAGCUAGAGUGCGUGAGGGGUAGGGGGAACGAGCAGUGUAGCGGUGAAAUGCGUAGAUAUCAGGAAGAACACCCGUGGCGAAAGCGGCUCUCUGGAACGGUACUGACGCUGAGACGCGAAAGCGUGGGGAGCGAACAGG
This 253-nucleotide ribosomal RNA is filed under the name uncultured bacterium. RNAcentral describes it as "partial 16S ribosomal RNA". It matches the Rfam family "Bacterial small subunit ribosomal RNA", at positions 524 to 776 of the family's 1533-position model. The record is from RNAcentral.